This 380-nucleotide long non-coding RNA is filed under the name Gallus gallus (chicken). The record is from RNAcentral. Lineage: Eukaryota; Metazoa; Chordata; Aves; Galliformes; Phasianidae.
GGGCCCGGAGCUGGGCGCUCCUGCAUGGAGAAGGAUUGGCUGCGGAUGCGGAACGCCACCUCCUGCGUGCGGAACGUCAGCCCAAAGAUGUCCUCGUGGUACCGGUUCUUGUCCCGCAGCUCGCUGAUGAAGUCCCCCGCCUGCCCCAUGGUCAUUCCUCCCUGCUGCACCAGGAUGUGCUGCACGGUCUGCAGCACCUCGGUGGCCAUCGUCACGUCCCCGCACACAUACAUGUGUCCCCCGCUCUCGCACAGCACGCGGUGCACCUCCUCUGCCAGCUGUGUCCGCAGCACGUCCUGCACGUAGGUCUUGGGGGUUCCCGGCUCGCGGGAGAACGCGGUGAGGACGCGGCUGAGCGCUCCCUGCUGCUGCGCCUCCUC